This 400-nucleotide ribosomal RNA is filed under the name uncultured Allobrachymonas sp. RNAcentral describes it as "bacterial SSU rRNA". It matches the Rfam family "Bacterial small subunit ribosomal RNA", at positions 977 to 1382 of the family's 1533-position model. The record is from RNAcentral. Lineage: Bacteria; Pseudomonadati; Pseudomonadota; Betaproteobacteria; Burkholderiales; Comamonadaceae.
ACCUUGACAUGGCAGGAAUCCCGAAGAGAUUUGGGAGUGCUCGAAAGAGAACCUGCACACAGGUGCUGCAUGGCUGUCGUCAGCUCGUGUCGUGAGAUGUUGGGUUAAGUCCCGCAACGAGCGCAACCCUUGCCAUUAGUUGCUACGAAAGGGCACUCUAAUGGGACUGCCGGUGACAAACCGGAGGAAGGUGGGGAUGACGUCAAGUCCUCAUGGCCCUUAUAGGUGGGGCUACACACGUCAUACAAUGGCCGGUACAGAGGGUAGCCAACCCGCGAGGGGGAGCCAAUCCCACAAAGCCGGUCGUAGUCCGGAUCGCAGUCUGCAACUCGACUGCGUGAAGUCGGAAUCGCUAGUAAUCGCGGAUCAGCAUGUCGCGGUGAAUACGUUCCCGGGUCUU